Molecule: RNase P RNA, 381 nt
Filed under: Maricaulis sp.
Lineage: Bacteria; Pseudomonadati; Pseudomonadota; Alphaproteobacteria; Maricaulales; Maricaulaceae
Description: RNase P RNA component class A
Rfam family: Bacterial RNase P class A
About the family: Ribonuclease P (RNase P) is a ubiquitous endoribonuclease, found in archaea, bacteria and eukarya as well as chloroplasts and mitochondria.
Source: RNAcentral
UCAGGUGGCUGGACGGCCGCGGUGGCAAGGCUGGAAACGGCGCCAUCGAGGAAAGUCCGGGCUCCACGGAGACAAGGUGCCGGGUAACUCCCGGCGGGGGUGACCCCAGGGAAAGCGCAGCAGAGAGCAGACCGCCGGGGCUUCGGCUCCGGUAAGGGUGAAAGGGUGCGGUAAGAGCGCACCGCCCCGACCGCAAGGAAGGGGGCACGGCAAGCCCCACCUGGAGCAAGACCGAAUAGGGAUGAACGGGUUCGCCCACAUGCGUCUCCGCAUGUCAUCCGGGUAGGUCGCACCAGACCGUCCGCAAGGCCGGUCGCAGAUGAAUGGUCGUCGCCCCGGUUCGCCGGGGAACAGAACCCGGCUUACAGGCCACCUGAUCCU